RNAcentral lists this ribosomal RNA (466 nucleotides) under uncultured bacterium. Its description in RNAcentral is "partial 16S ribosomal RNA". It matches the Rfam family "Bacterial small subunit ribosomal RNA", at positions 28 to 507 of the family's 1533-position model. The record is from RNAcentral.
GACGAACGCUGGCGGCGCGCCUAACACAUGCAAGUCGAACGAGCGAGAGAGAGAUUGCUUUCUCAAGCGAGUGGCGAAAGGGUGAGUAACGCGUGAGGAACCUGCCUCAAAGAGGGGGACAACAGUUGGAAACGACUGCUAAUACCGCAUAAGCCCACGACCCGGCAUCGGGUAUAGGGAAAAGGAGCAAUCCGCUUUGAGAUGGCCUCGCGUCCGAUUAGCUAGUUGGUGAGGUAACGGCCCACCAAGGCGACGAUAGGUAGCCGGACUGAGAGGUUGAACGGACACAUUUGGACUGAGACACGGCCCAGACUACUACGGGAGGGAGCAGUGGGGAAUAUUGCACAAUGGGGGAAACCAUGAUGCAGCGACGACGCGUGGAGGAAGAAGGUCUUCGGAUUGUAAACUCCUGUUGUUGAGGAAGAUAAUGACGGUACUCAACAAGGAAGUGACGGCUAACUACGUG